Humulus lupulus (European hop) is the source of this 1211-nucleotide RNA transcript. RefSeq lists it as uncharacterized. The record is from RefSeq and is a predicted model, not a curated record. NCBI's taxonomy places the organism in Eukaryota, Viridiplantae, Streptophyta, Magnoliopsida, Rosales, Cannabaceae. The transcript has 9 exons.
CUCGGUUGUUUCAGAGAAUUAAGAAAAUAUACCAAUAUAUUAUGAGAAAUUGCACUAAAAAAAAAACUAUUUUGCCAAGGAGCCCAUAUAUUAUUUGUAUUGCAAAUUGUCUAAAUUUGUCGAACAUUUAUAGUGUAAAAUGGAGGCUACUUUGAUGAGAUGCUGUACUAAUAAUGGCGCUGCAUUCCGAGCCCUCAAACCUCUCCAAUUCAAACUUACAAACCCACCUCGUUGCUCUUGCUCUUUCUCUUUCUCUUAUCAGCUUCUCCACUCGGAUGGAUUAGGUUCUGUUAGGAGGGUAUAUGAUGGACUGUUAUUGGAUGCUGGGGGUACCCUUUUGCAGCUGGCAAAGCCAGUCGAAGAGACUUAUGCUACAAUUGGAGCCAAAUAUGGUCUGACUACAACUCCUGCUGAGAUAAAGCAAGGCUUUAAGAGAGUUUUUUCAGCUCCAUGGCCUGAGAAGCUUCGUUACCAGGGAGAUGGGAGGCCAUUUUGGAAACUUGUUGUUUCUGAAGCCACUGGAUGUUCUGAUGUUGAUUAUUUUGAAGAAGUUUAUGAGUACUAUGCUAAUGGCGAUGCUUGGCAUCUUCCUUCUGGAGCUUAUGAAGCGAUAAACCUUCUCAAGGAUGCUGGAGUUAAGGUUGCUGUAGUAUCAAAUUUUGAUACCCGCUUGAGGAAGCUCUUGAAGGACCUCAAUGUUAUAGACCUGUUUGAUGCAGUCAUUAUAUCUUCAGAGGUUAAGUAUGAAAAACCAGAUCCUAAGAUAUUUGGAGCAGCUUUAGUUUUGGUGAAUAUUCCUGGUUUGUGGGGGAAACGUUCAUUAAUAAAUCUACAGCCACUUCAACUCCAAACUAUAACAUUCUGAAAGAAUCCAUCAACACUACCUUGAACAAAUGUUUGAUUCAUUUUUAGAUCAAAUCAAUGUGGAGGCUUGCAAAGCUGUACAUGUUGGAGAUGAUAAAAAGACAGACAAGGUUGGUGCCAAUGCCAUUGGGAUUGAUUGCUGGUUAUGGGGAGUUGAUGUGAAGACAUUCUCGGACAUUCGAAAUGGCAUUCUCAUUUCAGAGUCAUAGUGCUUAUUUCUUGACAGUGAUUCAGGUUUCUUUGUUCAUUUGACCUGUCUCUUUUAAUAUGCUUUCGAUUGUAAACUCAAAUGCUUCAGAAAAGGAAAAUUAACUAGCCAGUCUUACAAAGAGCCAGCUUGCCUAUCA